Molecule: ribosomal RNA, 305 nt
Filed under: uncultured eukaryote
Lineage: Eukaryota
Description: partial large subunit ribosomal RNA
Rfam family: Eukaryotic large subunit ribosomal RNA
Source: RNAcentral
AUAUUAUUAAGCGGAGGAAAAGAAACCAACAGGGAUUGCCCUAGUAACGGCGAGUGAAGCGGCAAGAGCUCAGAUUUGGAAUCCGGCCCUAGGCCCGAGUUGUAAUCUGCAGAUGAGCCUCCGGCGAAGCGCUGUCCAGGUUCCCUGGGAGGGGACGCCAUAGAGGGUGAGAGCCCCGUACGGACGUGCGCCUAGCCUCUGUGAGGCCCAUUCGACGAGUCGAGUAGUUUGGGAAUGCCGCUCCAAGUGGGAGGUAAAUUUCUUCUAAAGCUAAAUACCGGCCAGAGACCGAUAGCGCACAAGUA